This is a long non-coding RNA of Mauremys reevesii (Reeves's turtle), 468 nucleotides long. RefSeq lists it as uncharacterized. The record is from RefSeq and is a predicted model, not a curated record. The transcript is spliced from 3 exons. Lineage: Eukaryota; Metazoa; Chordata; Testudines; Geoemydidae.
CAGCAACGGCAGGCUCACGCCCCCAAAUUUAGAUCUUGAGACAGAUUUCAAAAAGCCUAAAGGUCGGGGAUGCUCCAGAUCUGGGGGUUUGGCUGAGCCUGUAUUUGAGGGAUAAUCCUACUUCCUUACUUCCCAACGGGGAGGCCUAAAGGUGCUUUGAGAUCCUCUGAUGAGAAGUGCUGCUGAAAUGCAACGUGGAAUCAUCAAAAAAGCAACUUGGCCAUUGAAAUGGCCUCUCCAGAGGGGCUGGAAAAUUAAAUUGAACGGAAUCUUCCGAUGCUCCAGAGCAUGUGGGAUGUCAACAUGCUUUGGAAUGGUUUGUCCAACAUGGACGGCACUUUCUGUUCUGUUGUCCAGCAGUUGGCUCACUCGCCUGGGCAGUGAGACUAGCAGCUUGUUACACUGAACCUUUCAUCUUGGGCUAUCCACACACUUGGCAAAGACAAAGUGUCACAGCAGCCUCGUGAG